Marmota monax (woodchuck) is the source of this 4893-nucleotide long non-coding RNA. RefSeq lists it as uncharacterized. NCBI's taxonomy places the organism in Eukaryota, Metazoa, Chordata, Mammalia, Rodentia, Sciuridae. The record is from RefSeq and is a predicted model, not a curated record. The transcript has 4 exons.
AUCCCUAGCUCAUAAUUUUAACCAUUUGUUUCUAUUUUCAUGGUUUGGAUUUUCUUUUUUAGUAUCCUUGAUUAGAUAUAAAAGAAAAUCCAACUCUGUACCUAAGAAUUCUAUGGCUUGGGUGAGUUAUCUUCCUCUCAGGGCCUAUGCUUCCUUAUUCGUAAGAGGAUGGGGUUGGCUACAUGAUCCUCAAGGUAAGUCAAUAUAAAGCCACUAGCUCCCAUCCUCAUGUAAAACCUAGUUCAUCCAAUCACUCAUUCUAGAGACUUCCUUCUUUUCAUUUGCUGUCCAUGUUUUUACUAUCUCUUGGUUCUCCUUCUACCUAUUCUGACCAUUCCAUCUUAUUCUAUCCUUCCAGGAUUCCUCUCCCACCUACCCUGGUAUUUGCCAUGGUCACUGGCCUCAGAAACUUGAAGUGCCCUAUACUUACACAUUAGUUUGAAAUCUGUGCCUGUGUUUUAUGCUCACUGCACUCUUAGAUCUUUGAGGGAUCAAAUCUCUUCUUCCUUGUUCAUUUUUGAAUAACUAGUGCCCAACACACAGGAACAUCUUAACUGUUUACUGAAUCCAAUAGAACAGUCUGUGGUGUUAUUACUUUCCAAGUUCUCUAAUAUUUUCUACAAUGUUGUUACUCAGUAUUUCACAACUCAGUAGGAGUUUGUCACUAGGAAGCCCGAGGGAAAUGCAGAGUCUCAGGCCACAGUCCGGACCUACUGAACCAGAAUCUGCUUUUUAACAAGAUUCCAAGGUUAUUCAUGUGCCUACAGAAGCUGAAAAGAAUUUUUCUGUGCUAUCCUUUAAUCAUUACUUCUGAUAAUUAACCAGUGACAAAACCAGACUUGCAACAGAUUUUACUGGAAUUCUUUUGUUAGAACAGGUGUUUCCUAUCAGAAGGAGAGUGAGAGUUUUGUCUGAUCCAUUUGAUUGCUCUCAUGGAAAUUAUGGGUGGGCCAGGAGCUGGGAGUGGACCUACUGGGAAGCAAAAGCAGCUGCCUCUGGCUACUGAAGAGCACCAGACCUGUCAGUAAGUUUAGACCUUGAAGGGACAAAAGAAGAAAUGCCAAGAGGGAGAUUCACAGCAACAAGAAACCUUAAAAUAAAAAUUAGGGCAGGAGGAGCAACAAUGGAGCACCUAAGAUAUUCCAAGAAAUCAGAUUGGGGAGUAAAGGAGACCCAGUCCCUUGCUUCACAUGGAAUACAGUUCAAGGUGAGGAACCAAGACCCAGAGAGACACAAACCAAGCCCGUAACACAUACAGCUACCAAGUGGGCAACUGAGAAUCGAACUCAGCUGAGACCCUAUUCAUAACCCUUAUCCAUGCUGCUUUUAAUCAUCAGGAUCUCAUCCGGGACACCACAUUGCAUUAAUUGCCACAUCUUUUCAGGCCUCUCUGGGUUGUGGCAGUUUCUCAGACUUGUUUUUGACAAUCCUGGUAAUUUUGAGGAGUACUGGUCAGAGAUUUUAUAGGAUGCCUCAUUACUGGGAGUUGUGUGUUUUAUUAUAAGGCUUGGGCUGUGACCACAUAGGUAGAGUGCUAUUUUAUCACAUCAUAUCAAAGGUAUGGAUUAGUAUUACCAUUAUUUGUGACUGUCAAUGUUGACCUCGAUCAACUGGCUUAAGUAGUAUCUGUCAGGUGUCUCCAAAGUAAAAGUACUCCUCCAUCCUUUUCCAUAUUUCAUUUUUUUGGAAGGAAACUUCCAUGUCUCUGUGUUCAGGAUACUUAAGAAUUAGGGAUGCUGAACGGAGAAAUAGCCAGAUACCAAUCUCUUAAAAAAAAUUAACUAAACAAAAAAGUUGGGUUCAGUGGCACAAGCCUGUAGUCCCAUCUACUCAGGAGGCUGAGGCAGAAGAACCACUUGAACCCAGAAGUUCAAGACCAGCCUAGAUAACAUAGUAAGACCUCAAUUCAAAAGGAAAUAAAUAAAUAAAAUUAAUUAAAUUAAAAACAAAAAAAGGAUAGAAGAAAGAUUUGUGGUUCUCAUCUCCGAGCACAAAGUAUCUACGUAGAUCAUUUGGAAUUCUUCACCAAGGGAGUUUUGUCCCUUCACCUUUAUUUAUUAAUUUGUUUAACCAUUUACUUAUACCAAUACAGAUUUGCGGAUAUUUAUUUUAUACCUGGGGUGAUGAUUCAAUGCUACUUCCUCUAUUUUGUUGCUUCAAGUGUUCCAGACGUUGGCCACUUCAAGCUCCUUCAAGUGGCUCCUCUGAUGUACCCGUGACAUCAUGGUGUGUGUUUGUACUUAUCUCUAGCAUUUUCUUACUUUAUAGCACUACAAGGAAGUCCAGGCUCAUCUUGAAUACUUCCUGCCUCAGUCCUAGAAUCGAUUAUUUCUCCAAGGACAUCUGGUUCCUUGUCUGGGAGAAGGGCAUUAGAAAUCAAGAUCUAGGCAUGAGCUGAGCUUAUUACUAGGUUGUUGUUCCUUUUAAGUCCUCUUAGCCAGCAGAGCAAAGAAAUAUUUAUGUGUAUAAUUAACCAAGGAUGCUAUUUUUGACAUUAUUCUCUUUCAGUAUGUUCCACUCAAAGUUCUCACCCAUGGCCACACUUUUCUCUCUAUCAUGUAGAAGCAGACUUCUUGCAAAUCUUCAACUCUAAUCAAAAUCUCUCUGCCCAACCUUAAAUCCAUAUUCCCCUCCCUCUCUCUUUACAUAUAUUUUUUUGUGGUGUUGUGAUAAAACCCAGGGGCUCACUCAUGCUAGGCAGGCACUCUCCCACUGAGCCCCAGCCCCAGCCCUGACCCAUAUUCUUGUCCUUUCUUUUUGCAGAUAUGACUGCCUGAUUUCCCCACAGGCCCCUAAAUCAUGUGAUCUUAAAACCUGAAGGCACUGAAUCUGUUUCUCCUUCUCUCUUUAUCAGUGAUCAGAAUAAAGCACAAGUUUUUCAUCCUUGUAUAUAAGGUCCUCUAUUAAUUGGUCUGUGAUUUCUUCUCCAGCUAUGAUGUGGAUAAAAAUCAUUAAAAACGAAGUAUACAUUUUAGAAGAGAGCACAGGACAGACCUCUGAAAGUUCUUAAGGGGCAGAAAGGAGAUUUUUGAAAGAUAGAAUGGAAAGGAGUUAGAAUGGUCAAAGGAGUGAAAAGAAAAAGUGUCAUCACAAAAUGACUGAGACAGGACGUCAACAACCCGUUAAGUGCCAUGGUGAGUUGGGAAGGGGCUGAAAAGCAUCCUUGGGCUUAGCAACUAGCAAGGUUUUGGUGACAUGAUGGGAGAGGAAACAAGACUGAAGUGGAUGAGUAAACAGAAAAUAGAAGGCCGAUUAAUCUUUUCACAAACUUGCCCUCAUGGGAGAAGAAGACUUCACAGGGUCACUGAGCAAAUUAUAUCAAAACACACAUAUAAAGACAGUCUGUCUAUGGGGUAUGGUGGUACACACCUCUGAUCCCAACUAUUCAGGAUGCUGAAGAAGGAGGAUUGCAAAUUCAAGGUCAGACUGGACAAUUUAUCAAGACCUUGUUUUCAACAACAACAACAACAACAACAAAAUAGCAGCUUGUAAAUCAAAAGAAGUUGUCACAGAAGAAGUCUGGAAUUUGGAACAGAUAAUCCUGAUUUUAAGAUCGGUUCUGUCACUUAAAAACCAAUUUAACAAGUAUUCCAUUUCCUCAGUUUAAAAUGAAAAUAUUUGUUCAAUUUUGAAUGGUUGGCAUCAGGACUUGUAAAUACUUAUGAAAGUACUGGCAGAGGGCUGCCCCGAAUAAGAGAGAGAUUUUCCUAUAAAUAGAUUUGUGCAGGAUGGGAGUAGAAAAUAUAAACCAUGUAAUCUUUAAUGUGAAAAAAAAAUAAGGUUUUUACUCAUUUUUAAGCCUGAGAUUUCUGCAUCUCUGAAGUCUUACAUUUAGUUCCAGCUAAAGGAAUCCUUUCUGGUGGCACUCAUCAGUGAAUGCCUACAAUUCCAGUUAUUUAUGAGGCUAAGGCAGGAGGAUGGCAAGUUCUGGGCCAGACUUGGCAACUUAGUGAGGUCCUGUCUCAAAUAAAAUGAAAAAAUGGAUGGAGGUAUAGCUCGAUUGAACACUUGUAUAGCACGCAGCAGGCCCUGGAUUCAAUCCCCAGAAUUCUUUCUAAAGUUGCCUAUUGCUCUUAGACAAUGGGAGUGUAUCAAGCCUGUGUGGUGUAGAGACAAGGAGCCGAGUGGUAUAGUUCUGUGGAAGACUGGAACACGACAAGACCAUAAAUCAUGUUACCUGUUCAGAUGUUAGUCCUUAGCUCUAUUUUAUUUAUACUUAUUGUGAAAAGCCUAUUACCAUUCUGUUCUGCACCUUCAAAACCUCGAGUUGCCUUUUUGUGAUAGGUUUUCUAAAAAAUAUAAUGCUUUGUAAAAGAUAUCUGGAGUUCAAAAGACCCAAUAUUACCUCUUUGGGAAUAUAAUCAUUGAUUUCAAAAAGAAGUUUGCUAAUAGGUUGUUAUAAAUGAUAAUCACUUUAAUAUGUAAAAAGGCCCAAACCUUUUUGAUAGAUGGAGGCACUUCAGAACUCAGUCUGAACACUUCCUUUGGUCCCAAAUGAAUAGUAAAUUACUUGGUGAUUGCAACAGAUUCAUUGUCUGAAAACAUUGUCUUAGACAUGGGAGUCACCUCCUUAUAUUAGGCCUUGUUUGAUACAGGUUCCUUUCUACCUAACAGGUCUGGUCAUAAUUCUUUUUUUUUUUUUUUUACCUGCAAAACAUAAUAUAUUGUAUUCUUAAUGACAAUGAUACUGUUUAAGGUGACCAAAACUAUGUGAUAUGUUGACUAAGUCACACUUGUACAGAAGAAUAAUCCAAGAUAGGGAUAUAAAAUAAAUUCUCAGAGGUAAUUGUUCAUGGAAAGAACUGGUGUGUGUGUGUGUAACUUUGUGUAUGUUUUGUAAGUUAUUUUAUUCCUCAGUGAAUCUCCUCAAUAAAUGGUGCUGAUUCAUUCUUA